RNAcentral lists this ribosomal RNA (303 nucleotides) under uncultured bacterium. RNAcentral's name for it is "partial 16S ribosomal RNA". It matches the Rfam family "Bacterial small subunit ribosomal RNA", at positions 507 to 807 of the family's 1533-position model. The record is from RNAcentral.
AGCAGUAGCCACGGGAAUACGAAGGGUGCAAGCGUUAAUCGGAAUUACUGGCCGUAAAGCGUGCGUAGGCGGUGAGUUAAGUCUGCUGUGAAAUCCCCGGGCUCAACCUGGGAAUGGCAGUGGAUACUGGCUCGCUAGAGUGUGUCAGAGGAUGGUGGAAUUCCCGGUGUAGCGGUGAAAUGCGUAGAGAUCGGGAGGAACAUCAGUGGCGAAGGCGGCCAUCUGGGACAACACUGACGCUGAGGCACGAAAGCGUGGGGAGCAAACAGGAUUAGAUACCCCCGUAGUCCCUGUCUCUUAUAC